UGUGCCAUCACAGUGCUCCAAUGUGACAUCACAGUGCUACAUUGUGCCAUCACAGUGUCCAUUGUGUCAUGACAAUGAUCCAUUGUGUUAUCAUAGU
This 97-nucleotide microRNA precursor is filed under the name Microtus ochrogaster (prairie vole). RNAcentral describes it as "miRNA (ENSMOCG00000009570.1)". The record is from RNAcentral. Lineage: Eukaryota; Metazoa; Chordata; Mammalia; Rodentia; Cricetidae.